UACGGAGGAUCCGAGCGUUAUCCGGAUUUAUUGGGUUUAAAGGGUGCGCAGGCGGGGGAUUAAGUCGGCGGUGAAAUUUUGCAGCUCAACUGUAAAAGUGCCUUCGAAACUGGUUUCCUUGAGUGUAGAUGAAGUAGGCGGAAUUUGUGGUGUAGCGGUGAAAUGCUUAGAUAUCACGAGGAACUCCGAUUGCGUAGGCAGCUUACUAAACUACUACUGACGCUCAGGCACGAAGGCGUGGGGAUCAAACAGGAUUAGAUACCCUGGUAGUCCCUGA
RNAcentral lists this ribosomal RNA (277 nucleotides) under uncultured prokaryote. Its description in RNAcentral is "partial 16S ribosomal RNA". It matches the Rfam family "Bacterial small subunit ribosomal RNA", at positions 524 to 800 of the family's 1533-position model. The record is from RNAcentral.